This 827-nucleotide ribosomal RNA is filed under the name uncultured Bacillota bacterium. RNAcentral's name for it is "bacterial SSU rRNA". It matches the Rfam family "Bacterial small subunit ribosomal RNA", at positions 57 to 867 of the family's 1533-position model. Lineage: Bacteria; Bacillati; Bacillota. The record is from RNAcentral.
GCAAGUCGAACGCGGUUAGUAGCAAUACUAACUGAGUGGCGAACGGGUGAGUAACACGUGGGUGACCUACCUUCGAGUGGGGGAUAACGUCCCGAAAGGGACGCUAAUACCGCAUAACAUCCUGCCUUUGAACAGGCGGAGAUCAAAGCCGGGGAUCGUAAGACCUGGCGCUUGAUGAGGGGCCCGCGUCUGAUUAGCUAGUUGGUGAGGUAACGGCCCACCAAGGCGACGAUCAGUAUCCGGCCUGAGAGGGCGGACGGACACACUGGGACUGAGACACGGCCCAGACUCCUACGGGAGGCAGCAGUGGGGAAUUGUUCACAAUGGGCGCAAGCCUGAUGACGCAACGCCGCGUGGAGGAUGAAGGUCUUCGGAUUGUAAACUCCUGUUGCUCGGGACGAAAAGCUUCGACCUAAUACGUCGAGGUCUGACGGUACCGAGUGAGGAAGCCCCGGCUAACUCUGUGCCAGCAGCCGCGGUAAUACAGAGGGGGCAAGCGUUGUUCGGAAUUACUGGGCGUAAAGGGCGCGUAGGUGGCCUUCUAAGUCGAACGUGAAAUCCCUGGGCUCAACCCAGGAACUGCGUCCGAUACUGGAAGGCUUGAAUCCGGGAGAGGGAUGCGGAAUUCCAGGUGUAGCGGUGAAAUGCGUAGAUAUCUGGAGGAACACCGGUGGCGAAGGCGGCAUCCUGGACCGGCAUUGACGCUGAGGCGCGAAAGCUAGGGGAGCAAACGGGAUUAGAUACCCCGGUAGUCCUAGCCCUAAACGAUGAAUGCUUGGUGUGGCGGGUAUCGAUCCCUGCCGUGCCGAAGCUAACGCAUUAAGCAU